This 253-nucleotide ribosomal RNA is filed under the name uncultured bacterium. RNAcentral's name for it is "partial 16S ribosomal RNA". It matches the Rfam family "Bacterial small subunit ribosomal RNA", at positions 524 to 776 of the family's 1533-position model. The record is from RNAcentral.
UACGUAGGGUGCAAGCGUUGUCCGGAAUUAUUGGGCGUAAAGAGCUCGUAGGCGGUUCGUCGCGUCGGCUGUGAAAACCCGAGGCUCAACCUCGGGCCUGCAGUCGAUACGGGCGGACUGGAGUUCGGCAGGGGAGACUGGAAUUCCUGGUGUAGCGGUGAAAUGCGCAGAUAUCAGGAGGAACACCGGUGGCGAAGGCGGGUCUCUGGGCCGAUACUGACGCUGAGGCACGAAAGCGUGGGGAGCAAACAGG